GACGAACGCUGGCGGUGUGCUUAACACAUGCAAGUCGAACGGUAAGGCCCUUUCGGGGGUACACGAGUGGCGAACGGGUGCGUAACUCGUGAGUAACCUGCCCUCAUCUCUGGGAUAACAGUCGGAAACGGUUGCUAAUACUGGAUAUGAGCUUGCAAGGCAUCUUGUGGGUUGGAAAGAUUUUUUUUGGUUGGGGAUGGACUCGCGGCCUAUCAGCUUGUUGGUGAGGUAGUGGCUCACCAAGGCUUCGACGGGUAGCCGGCCUGAGAGGGCGACCGGCCACAUUGGGACUGAGAUACGGCCCAAACUCCUACGGGAGGCAGCAGUGGGGAAUAUUGCACAAUGGACGGAAGUCUGAUGCAGCAACGCCGCGUGCGGGAUGACGGCCUUCGGGUUGUAAACCGCUUUCAAUUGUGACGAAGCUUUUUUGUGACGGUAGCAGUAGAAGAAGCACCGGCUAACUACGUG
RNAcentral lists this ribosomal RNA (468 nucleotides) under uncultured bacterium. Its description in RNAcentral is "partial 16S ribosomal RNA". It matches the Rfam family "Bacterial small subunit ribosomal RNA", at positions 28 to 507 of the family's 1533-position model. The record is from RNAcentral.